UACGAAGGGGGCUAGCGUUGCUCGGAAUGACUGGGCGUAAAGGGCGCGUAGGCGGUUUGUACAGUCAGGUGUGAAAUUCCCGGGCUCAACCUGGGGCUCCACCUGAUACUGCUGUGGCUAGAGUCCGGUAGGGGAGCGUGGAAUUCCUGGUGUAGCGGUGAAAUGCGCAGAUAUCAGGAGGAACACCAGCGGCGAAGGCGGCGCUCUGGGCCGGAACUGACGCUGAGGAGCGAAAGCGUGGGUAGCAAACAGG
This 253-nucleotide ribosomal RNA is filed under the name uncultured bacterium. Its description in RNAcentral is "partial 16S ribosomal RNA". It matches the Rfam family "Bacterial small subunit ribosomal RNA", at positions 524 to 776 of the family's 1533-position model. The record is from RNAcentral.